Molecule: ribosomal RNA, 274 nt
Filed under: uncultured bacterium
Lineage: Bacteria
Description: partial 16S ribosomal RNA
Rfam family: Bacterial small subunit ribosomal RNA
Source: RNAcentral
AUACGAAAGGUGCAAGCGUUGUUCGGAUUUACUGGGCGUAAAGAGAGUGUAGGUGGUUUCUUAAGUCGGAUGUGAAAUCCCGGGGCUCAACCUCGGAACUGCAUUCGAUACUGAUAGGCUAGAGUUUGGGAGGGGUAAGCGGAAUUCCGUGUGUAGCAGUGAAAUGCGUAGAUAUACGGAGGAACACCUGAGGCGAAGGCGGCUUACUGGACCAAUACUGACACUGAGACUCGAAAGCGUGGGUAGCAAACAGGAUUAGAAACCCUAGUAGUCC